This 301-nucleotide ribosomal RNA is filed under the name uncultured bacterium. Its description in RNAcentral is "partial 16S ribosomal RNA". It matches the Rfam family "Bacterial small subunit ribosomal RNA", at positions 509 to 808 of the family's 1533-position model. The record is from RNAcentral.
CAGUCGCCGCGGGAAUACGUAGGUCCCGAGCGUUGUCCGGAUUUAUUGGGCGUAAAGCGAGCGCAGGCGGUUAGAAAAGUCUGAAGUGAAAGGCAGUGGCUCAACCAUUGUAGGCUUCGGAAACUGUUUAACUUGAGUGCAGAAGGGGAGAGUGGAAUUCCAUGUGUAGCGGUGAAAUGCGUAGAUAUAUGGAGGAACACCGGUGGCGAAAGCGGCUCUCUGGUCUGUAACUGACGCUGAGGCUCGAAAGCGUGGGGAGCGAACAGGAUUAGAUACCCGCGUAGUCCCUGUCUCUUAUACA